Molecule: ribosomal RNA, 253 nt
Filed under: uncultured bacterium
Lineage: Bacteria
Description: partial 16S ribosomal RNA
Rfam family: Bacterial small subunit ribosomal RNA
Source: RNAcentral
UACGUAGGGUGCGAGCGUUAAUCGGAAUUACUGGGCGUAAAGCGUGCGCAGGCGGUUCGCUAAGACCGAUGUGAAAUCCCCGGGCUUAACCUGGGAACUGCAUUGGUGACUGGCGGGCUAGAGUAUGGCAGAGGGGGGUAGAAUUCCACGUGUAGCAGUGAAAUGCGUAGAGAUGUGGAGGAACACCGAUGGCGAAGGCAGCCUUCUGGGCCAAUACUGACGCUCAUGCACGAAAGCGUGGGGAGCAAACAGG